This 342-nucleotide unclassified non-coding RNA is filed under the name soil metagenome. RNAcentral's name for it is "partial contains 5.8S ribosomal RNA, internal transcribed spacer 2, and large subunit ribosomal RNA". The stretch from base 1 to 120 matches the Rfam family "5.8S ribosomal RNA", at positions 35 to 154 of the family's 154-position model. The record is from RNAcentral.
GAUGAAGAACGCAGUGAAAUGCGAUAAGUAAUGUGAAUUGCAGAAUUCAGUGAAUCAUCGAAUCUUUGAACGCACCUUGCGCCCGCCAGUAUUCUGGCGGGCAUGCCUGUUCGAGCGUCAUUUCAACCAUCAAGCCCCGGGCUUGUGUUGGGGAUCUGCGGCUGCCCGCAGGCCCUGAAAACCAGUGGCGGGCUCGCUGUCACUCCGAGCGUAGUAGCACUCGUAUCUCGCUCAGGGCGUGCCGCGGGCUCCGGCCGUUAAACCGCCUCUUUAGCACCCAAAGGUUGACCUCGGAUCAGGUAGGAGGACCCGCUGAACUUAAGCAUAUCAAUAAGCGGAGGA